CUCCCUGCCCUUUAGCAGAUGUUUGCGUCUCCCUUUACACUUUCCUGUUUGUGCACAGUACUCUCUCUUCCUUAUGCACCUACAAGACCCAAACUUCUCUCACAGUCAUAAGAGUGCCAGAAGACAUUUUAAAGUUAAAACAUGGGUCUGAAUUCCAGAAGAAGGAAGUGAUCUGGGGAGACAAAGGUUUCUAUUUCUCUUGCAUCUUUUUCCAAAUUCACCUUGGAACUCCCAUCUUGUCAAAUUCAAUUAAAAUAAUUCAGUUUCAAGGCUUAUUGGAAGCCUCAGUGCUGCUACAUGCAGCAGACUGUGCAUAGACCAGAGGCACUCAGCUUCUAGAGUUUAUUUACAAGGCUCUCAAAUGUUGACACUGCA
Molecule: long non-coding RNA, 375 nt
Organism: Neopsephotus bourkii (Bourke's parrot)
Lineage: Eukaryota; Metazoa; Chordata; Aves; Psittaciformes; Psittacidae
Exons: 3
Source: RefSeq, a predicted model, not a curated record